UACGAAGGGUGCAAACGUUGCUCGGAAUUAUUGGGCGUAAAGCGCACGUAGGCGGCUUUGCAAGUCGGAUGUGAAAUCCCUCGGCUCAACCAAGGAAGUGCAUCCGAAACUGCAGAGCUUGAGUACUUAAGAGGAUCGCGGAAUUCCCGGUGUAGAGGUGAAAUUCGUAGAUAUCGGGAGGAACACCAGUGGCGAAGGCGGCUUCCUGGCCUGUUCUUGACGCUGAGGCGCGAAAGCUAGGGGAGCAAACGGG
RNAcentral lists this ribosomal RNA (253 nucleotides) under uncultured bacterium. Its description in RNAcentral is "partial 16S ribosomal RNA". It matches the Rfam family "Bacterial small subunit ribosomal RNA", at positions 524 to 776 of the family's 1533-position model. The record is from RNAcentral.